RNAcentral lists this long non-coding RNA (257 nucleotides) under Solanum tuberosum (potato). RNAcentral describes it as "long non-coding RNA (STUB_LNC009321)". Lineage: Eukaryota; Viridiplantae; Streptophyta; Magnoliopsida; Solanales; Solanaceae. The record is from RNAcentral.
GAUCCAUUCACUUUAUCAAAUCUCUCUUGGAGAUCUGCCCAUACCUUGCAAGCACUUGUCACGUACACGAUUCCACUAAGCAAUUCAGUACAAACAAAAUUCAUAAUCCAUGAGAGUACGAUUGCAUUACAUUUCUCCCACAAAUCAUGAAGGGAGACAUCAAAUUUCUCUUUAGGAUACCUGCCAUCAACGAAUCCUAAUUUGCUCUUCCCUAACAAACUAAUUCGCAUUGAACUACUCCACAAUGCAUAAUUUUC